AGUGAACGCUGGCGGUAGGCCUAACACAUGCAAGUCGAACGGCAGCACAGUAAGAGCUUGCUCUUACGGGUGGCGAGUGGCGGACGGGUGGGGAAUACAUCGGAAUCUACUUUUUCGUGGGGGAUAACGUAGGGAAACUUACGCUAAUACCGCAUACGACCUACGGGUGAAAGCAGGGGAUCUUCGUACCUUGCGCGAUUGAAUGAGCCGAUGUCGGAUUAGCUAGUUGGCGGGGUAAAGGCCCACCAAGGCGACGAUCCGUAGCUGGUCUGAGAGGAUGAUCAGCCACACUGGAACUGAGACACGGUCCAGACUCCUACGGGAGGCAGCAGUGGGGAAUAUUGGACAAUGGGCGCAAGCCUGAUCCAGCCAUACCGCGUGGGUGAAGAAGGCCUUCGGGUUGUAAAGCCCUUUUGUUGGGAAAGAAAAGCAGCAGGUUAAUACCCCGCUGUUCUGACGGUACCCAAAGAAUAAGCACCGGCUAACUUCGUG
Molecule: ribosomal RNA, 492 nt
Filed under: uncultured bacterium
Lineage: Bacteria
Description: partial 16S ribosomal RNA
Rfam family: Bacterial small subunit ribosomal RNA
Source: RNAcentral